Molecule: RNA transcript, 2133 nt
Organism: Vitis riparia (riverbank grape)
Lineage: Eukaryota; Viridiplantae; Streptophyta; Magnoliopsida; Vitales; Vitaceae
Gene name: armadillo repeat-containing protein LFR
Exons: 10
Source: RefSeq, a predicted model, not a curated record
AUAACCCGGCCUUUUGGAGCGUGACCAGGACGCUUUCCGGUUUAGAAAAACACCCGUAAUUACCAAAUCGCCACCCGAAGAGGGAAAUUUGAUAGGGGAAUGCAGAAGAGGGACCAGAGCAAGUUGGGCGGCUCGGCAGGUGGCGCCACCACUCCGGCGGCGAAGAGAGGCCGUCCUUUCGGCAGUGGAGGCAGCAACUCCGCCGCCGCCGCCGCUGCUGACGCGGCUGCUCCAUCCACUCUCCUUGGUCCAUCUCUCCACGUCCACAGUUCCUUCGCUGAUCAAAACAACAAAAGAAUAGUUUUGGCUCUUCAAAGUGGAUUAAAGAGUGAGCUAGGAUGGGCAAUUAAUGCUCUGACAUUACUCUCUUUCAAAGAAAAGGACGAUGUGCGCAAAGAUGCUACUCCUCUUGCUAAAAUACCUGGGUUGCUGGAUGCUCUUCUCCAAGUUAUAGAUGACUGGCGUGAUAUAGCCCUUCCAAAGGAACUUGCAAAAGCGCCAAGAGCCAGGUUGUUAGGUGCUAACUCUUUUGUAACAGGAUUUGGAAAUGAGUACGAGGCAUUGGGUUCAAAUGAUGUUCUUUCCCAUCCUGGAUCUGGUUCUUCCAUCUCUGAUGCCUCUGUGCAGAAGAAUACAACCAAGCUUCGUCCUUCAGAGUGGUGGUUGGAUGAAGAUGGUCUGUUUAAUCUGGAUGAAGAAGGGCGGGCAGAAAAACAGCAAUGUGCUGUUGCAGCUUCAAAUAUCAUUCGCAACUUCUCUUUCAUGCCAGAUAAUGAAGUCAUAAUGGCCCAGCAUCGCCACUGCUUGGAAACAGUGUUUCAGUGCAUAGAAGAUCACAUCACAGAGGAUGAGGAACUUGUCACGAAUGCACUUGAAACAAUUGUGAAUUUGGCUCCUUUGCUGGAUCUUCGUAUCUUUAGUUCAUCCAAGCCUUCCUACAUCAAAAUAACAGAGAAACGUGCAGUUCAAGCUAUCAUGGGGAUGCUGGGAUCUGCAGUCAAAGCCUGGCAUUGUGCAGCUGCGGAAUUACUUGGGCGUUUGAUAAUAAAUCCUGAUAAUGAACCAUUCCUUCUUCCUUUCGCUUCACAGAUACAUAAGCGUUUGGUUGAUCUUCUGAGCUUGCCCGCCGUAGAUGCACAAGCAGCUGCAGUUGGUGCUCUAUAUAACCUUGCAGAAGUCAAUAUGGACUGCAGGUUGAAGCUUGCUAGUGAGAGAUGGGCAAUUGAUCGCCUGCUGAAAGUUAUCAAGACACCACAUCCAGUACCAGAAGUUUGCAGGAAAGCUGCAAUGAUAAUCGAGAGCCUGGUGUCAGAACCACAAAACAGGGCCCAGCUGCUAGCUUAUGAGAAUGCCUUCGCAGAGAUACUCUUCUCAGAUGGCAGACACUCUGAUACAUUUGCCAGGAUAUUAUAUGAAUUGACAUCUCGACCAAACAACAAAAUGGCUGCGGCUCGUGGUAUCUGGGGCAUGUAACUGAAAACCUGCUUCAUUUGGUGAUUAGGUUCUAUUUUAAAAGAAUAUUGGAAAGGGGACAGAACUGGAAAAAGAAAUUCUAGCAAGCAGUAUGGUUUCCGGCCAGGACUUGAUGCCACUUUCAGUAGUGUUUGCACUUUGCAUUGCUAAAAUGGGAAAAGUCUUUCUUCCACCCUUGUACUUGAAGAAGGCAAAUCUAUCCUUCCAAAGUUGGUUUUGUUGGUUUUACAUCUGCUUCCCAUCUCAAGGAUUACUCACCCCUGAUGAGAAGAUCAAUUAGGUAAAACUGGUACUGUUUCGGUCUCACACUCUCACUAUCCUUAUUACAGUUUAAUUGAUUAUAUUCUCCUAGAGUACAUAAACAGUAAUGUAUAUCACAUUAUUAUGAUGUAAAUCACUUGCUCUAAUAGGAGAUUCCCUUCAGUCAUUCUUGACAUGGAUGCCUUUGUUAUGGCACAGUUUUGCACAGCCAUUUUUUUUAAAAAAUAUUUUCAUUCAGCUUAUACUUGUGCUCCAAUUUCAAACUACUAUGUGAAAAAUUCUAAGUUAUGUAGUGGAGAAUUUGUCACCCUCAAGUAGAGACAAAGAUGUGUUGGUGUGGGUGCACGAAAUCUUCAACCACCUUAUUAGAAUAACUAAACCAUGUAUACUUGCACUUCA